RNAcentral lists this transfer RNA (87 nucleotides) under Hyphomonadaceae bacterium. Its description in RNAcentral is "tRNA-Ser". It matches the Rfam family "tRNA". From Rfam's summary of the family: Transfer RNA (tRNA) molecules are approximately 80 nucleotides in length. Their secondary structure includes four short double-helical elements and three loops (D, anti-codon, and T loops). Further hydrogen bonds mediate the characteristic L-shaped molecular structure. tRNAs have two regions of fundamental functional importance: the anti-codon, which is responsible for specific mRNA codon recognition, and the 3' end, to which the tRNAs corresponding amino acid is attached (by aminoacyl-tRNA synthetases). tRNAs cope with the degeneracy of the genetic code in two manners: having more than one tRNA (with a specific anti-codon) for a particular amino acid; and 'wobble' base-pairing, i.e. permitting non-standard base-pairing at the 3rd anti-codon position. Lineage: Bacteria; Pseudomonadati; Pseudomonadota; Alphaproteobacteria; Hyphomonadales; Hyphomonadaceae. The record is from RNAcentral.
GGAUGGGUGGCCGAGUGGUUUAAGGCACCGGUCUUGAAAACCGGCGUGGGUGCAAGCCCACCGUGGGUUCGAAUCCCACCCCAUCCG